GGAUUAUAGCUCAGCUGGUUAGAGCACACGCCUGAUAAGCGUGAGGUCGGUGGUUCGAGUCCACUUGAUCC
Molecule: transfer RNA, 71 nt
Filed under: bovine gut metagenome
Rfam family: tRNA
About the family: Transfer RNA (tRNA) molecules are approximately 80 nucleotides in length.
Source: RNAcentral